Molecule: long non-coding RNA, 268 nt
Filed under: Panax ginseng (ginseng)
Lineage: Eukaryota; Viridiplantae; Streptophyta; Magnoliopsida; Apiales; Araliaceae
Description: long non-coding RNA (PGIN_LNC001157)
Source: RNAcentral
UUUUAAAACUUUAAUUCUCUAUGUGGACUAUUUUGGUGAAAACAGCCCACAUGGCUUCAAUACUUGCUAGAUUUGUGUUCUACCACUUGGGUUUACUAGAUAACUCAUGUAUCUAGUAUUCCCCUUCGACGGAUCACAAAUCCAAGUUGUAAAACCUGAGUUACACAAGAUUUAGUAGAAGAAAAACAAGGGUUUAACCCCUAGGAGAACAUAUGCUCAUUUUCUUUCUCUAAACCGUUGAUCUAAUACUCAAGAUACUUAGUUCCAU